AUUGAACGCUGGCGGCAGGCCUAACACAUGCAAGUCGAGCGGAUGAAGGGAGCUUGCUCCUGGAUGCAGCGGCGGACGGGUGAGUAAUGCCUAGGAAUCUGCCUGGUAGUGGGGUAUAACGUCCGGACACGGUCGCUAAUACCGCAUACGUCCUGAGGGAGAAAGUGUGGGAUCUUCGGACCUCACGCUAUCAGAUGAGCCUAGGUCGGAUUAGCUAGUUGGUGGGGUAAAGGCCUACCAAGGCGACGAUCCGUAACUGGUCUGAGAGGAUGGUCAGUCACACUGGAACUGAGACACGGUCCAGACUCCUACGGGAGGCAGCAGUGGGGAAUAUUGGACAAUGGGCGAAAGCCUGAUCCAGCCAUGCCGCGUGUGUGAAGAAGGUCUUCGGAUUGUAAAGCACUUUAAGUUGGGAGGAAGGGCAGUAAGUUAAUACCUUGCUGUUUUGACGUUACCAACAGAAUAAGCACCGGCUAACUUCGUG
This 484-nucleotide ribosomal RNA is filed under the name uncultured bacterium. RNAcentral's name for it is "partial 16S ribosomal RNA". It matches the Rfam family "Bacterial small subunit ribosomal RNA", at positions 30 to 507 of the family's 1533-position model. The record is from RNAcentral.